CUAUUAAGGACAUUUGUGAUUC
RNAcentral lists this microRNA (22 nucleotides) under Homo sapiens (human). RNAcentral's name for it is "hsa-miR-4477a". The record is from miRBase by way of RNAcentral. Lineage: Eukaryota; Metazoa; Chordata; Mammalia; Primates; Hominidae.